AAGGAGGAGCAGAACUGGAGGCUGCUCUCCUGGAAGAUAGAGAGCUGAGAAUGCAAAGGGAGCUCUGCAUGUUGAGAGCAAGCGUGGACGCUAUGCUGUUGCCCCACCUGGAGGGCAUUGAGUCGGCUCAGGCCGCCUGGCAGGUGCUGAGGAGUCUGUGUGAUAGCUCAGCAGGAGCCCAGGGCCUGGAGAAAGCCGAGAGCAGGCAGGAAGCUGAGAGCCCAGAGGGGGCUGCUGGCCAUGUUCCUAAAGUUACAGCUGGGAGUAGCUGCUUUGUCUCCGAGGGGCCGUGUGAUGUUGAGGCCUACAACCAGAGUGCUGGGGAGCGUGCAGGCCCAGGCUGUGCACCCAAAGGUGGGGGUGCUGGGAACAAAGAAAUGGCUGAAGAGGGAGCUGUGAGAGCUGUUGCUACGCGUCGCCGCUGUUAUCGCUGUGGCUCCCCCUCCCAUCUGGUGAGAGAAUGUCCAGUGGAGGAACAGCCGAAGGCCGUUUCCCGUAGCAACCAGAUAAAGAGCUCGUCUUCAAAGCGUGGGAAAGGCA
Non-coding RNA from Podarcis lilfordi (Lilford's wall lizard), 540 nucleotides. The record is from the annotation of a GenBank genome assembly. Lineage: Eukaryota; Metazoa; Chordata; Lepidosauria; Squamata; Lacertidae.